Molecule: non-coding RNA, 207 nt
Filed under: Apilactobacillus ozensis
Lineage: Bacteria; Bacillati; Bacillota; Bacilli; Lactobacillales; Lactobacillaceae
Description: Lactobacillus ozensis T-box sequence
Rfam family: T-box leader
About the family: Uncharged tRNA acts as the effector for transcription antitermination of genes in the T-box leader family.
Source: RNAcentral
UAAAAAAUAAACGAACUAUUAGAUUAUAUUAUUCAUACAGAAACUAAAUGGUUGCUGAGAAUUUAGGUUUAGUAUAAUACGAACUCAUCGUUUUAAUUUUUCUGCCGAAAAUAUUUAGUAAGUGGAAACGUUUAUCGCGUUAAAAUAUUAAGGGUUUUCAACUUGUUGAAAAAAAUUAGGUGGUACCGCGGAAUAUUCGUCCUAUAA